This 278-nucleotide ribosomal RNA is filed under the name uncultured prokaryote. RNAcentral describes it as "partial 16S ribosomal RNA". It matches the Rfam family "Bacterial small subunit ribosomal RNA", at positions 524 to 800 of the family's 1533-position model. The record is from RNAcentral.
UACGAAGGGUGCAAGCGUUAAUCGGAAUUACUGGGCGUAAAGCGCGCGUAGGUGGUUCGUUAAGUUGGGAGUGAAAGCCCCGGGCUCAACCUGGGAAUUGCUUCUAAAACUGGCGAGCUAGAGUAUGGUAGAGGGUGGUGGAAUUUCCUGUGUGGCGGUGAAAUGCGUAGAUAUAGGAAGGAACAUCAGUGGCGAAGGCGACCACCUGGACUGAUACUGACACUGAGGUGCGAAAGCGUGGGGAGCAAACAGGAUUAGAUACCCCCGGUAGUCCCUGA